RNAcentral lists this transfer RNA (72 nucleotides) under Uncinocarpus reesii 1704. RNAcentral's name for it is "tRNA-Gln (CTG) (tRNA-Gln-CTG-1-1)". It matches the Rfam family "tRNA". Rfam says of the family: Transfer RNA (tRNA) molecules are approximately 80 nucleotides in length. Their secondary structure includes four short double-helical elements and three loops (D, anti-codon, and T loops). Further hydrogen bonds mediate the characteristic L-shaped molecular structure. tRNAs have two regions of fundamental functional importance: the anti-codon, which is responsible for specific mRNA codon recognition, and the 3' end, to which the tRNAs corresponding amino acid is attached (by aminoacyl-tRNA synthetases). tRNAs cope with the degeneracy of the genetic code in two manners: having more than one tRNA (with a specific anti-codon) for a particular amino acid; and 'wobble' base-pairing, i.e. permitting non-standard base-pairing at the 3rd anti-codon position. The record is from RNAcentral. Lineage: Eukaryota; Fungi; Ascomycota; Eurotiomycetes; Onygenales; Onygenaceae.
GGUUCUAUGGUGUAGCGGUUAGCAUAGCGGAUUCUGAUUCCGCCGACCCCGGUUCGAUUCCGGGUAGGACCU